GAAGUCCUCUAUUUAUCCACAGGCCAGGCACGGUAGAGGCAGCCCCAGUGCGAGCUUCCGCCUUGCUACUCUGGUCAUGAGCUCCAGCAUGUCUUGGAGGAGCCAGCCUCCCUAGGGGGGUGUAAAGGUAAAUUUC
This 136-nucleotide small RNA is filed under the name Pogona vitticeps (central bearded dragon). Its description in RNAcentral is "TUC338 (ENSPVIG00000022797.1)". The record is from RNAcentral. Lineage: Eukaryota; Metazoa; Chordata; Lepidosauria; Squamata; Agamidae.